UACGUAGGUGGCAAGCGUUGUCCGGAAUUAUUGGGCGUAAAGGGCGCGUAGGCGGUCCUUUAAGUCAGAUGUGAAAUCCCGGAGGCUCAACUUCGGGCGUGCAUUUGAAACUGGAGGACUAGAGUGCAGGAGAGGUAAGUGGAAUUCCUAGUGUAGCGGUGAAAUGCGUAGAUAUUAGGAGGAACACCAGUGGCGAAGGCGACUUACUGGACUGUAACUGACGCUGAGGCGCGAAAGCGUGGGGAGCAAACAGGG
This 255-nucleotide ribosomal RNA is filed under the name uncultured bacterium. RNAcentral's name for it is "partial 16S ribosomal RNA". It matches the Rfam family "Bacterial small subunit ribosomal RNA", at positions 524 to 777 of the family's 1533-position model. The record is from RNAcentral.